Molecule: ribosomal RNA, 701 nt
Filed under: uncultured Lachnospiraceae bacterium
Lineage: Bacteria; Bacillati; Bacillota; Clostridia; Lachnospirales; Lachnospiraceae
Description: bacterial SSU rRNA
Rfam family: Bacterial small subunit ribosomal RNA
Source: RNAcentral
ACGCUGGCGGCGUGCUUAACACAUGCAAGUCGAACGGGGAUUAUUUUGACAGAGACUUCGGUUGAAGUCGUUAUAAUCCUAGUGGCGGACGGGUGAGUAACGCGUGGGUAACCUGCCUCACACUGGGGGAUAACAGUCAGAAAUGACUGCUAAUACCGCAUAAGCGCACGGAGCCGCAUGGCUCAGUGUGAAAAACUCCGGUGGUGUGAGAUGGACCCGCGUUGGAUUAGCCAGUUGGCAGGGUAACGGCCUACCAAAGCGACGAUCCAUAGCCGGCCUGAGAGGGUGGACGGCCACAUUGGGACUGAGACACGGCCCAGACUCCUACGGGAGGCAGCAGUGGGGAAUAUUGCACAAUGGGGGAAACCCUGAUGCAGCGACGCCGCGUGAAGGAAGAAGUAUCUCGGUAUGUAAACUUCUAUCAGCAGGGAAGAAAAUGACGGUACCUGACUAAGAAGCCCCGGCUAACUACGUGCCAGCAGCCGCGGUAAUACGUAGGGGGCAAGCGUUAUCCGGAUUUACUGGGUGUAAAGGGAGCGUAGACGGAGCAGCAAGUCUGAUGUGAAAGGCGGGGGCUCAACCCCCGGACUGCAUUGGAAACUGUUGAUCUUGAGUACCGGAGAGGUAAGCGGAAUUCCUAGUGUAGCGGUGAAAUGCGUAGAUAUUAGGAGGAACACCAGUGGCGAAGGCGGCUUACUGGA